GUCGGGCAUGGUGGCGCAUGCCUGAAAUCCCAGCAUCUUGGGAGACUGAGGCAGGAGAAUCGCUUGAACCCAGGAGCUGGAGGUUACAGUGAGCCGAGAUAAGGCCACUGCACUCCAGCCUAGGCAACAGAGUGAGACUCUGUCUCAA
Molecule: non-coding RNA, 148 nt
Filed under: Nomascus leucogenys (northern white-cheeked gibbon)
Lineage: Eukaryota; Metazoa; Chordata; Mammalia; Primates; Hylobatidae
Source: Rfam by way of RNAcentral